CCCCCCCAAAAAAAAAAAAACUUUGUGCUUUCAUGCUUUCCAAAUGCCCCAUGCAAAAGCAUACGAUAAUUCUGAUACAUGAUCUAUCCAUUUCCUCUUGCAUAGUUGGCCGAGUAACACUUGAGUCAAAGAAGAAAAUGAGAUGAAAGCAUCCAAUUAAGAGUUUUAAUAAGAGUCCACAGCACUAUAUGGUUAAUGAGCAUUGGCAAAGAAUAGUGCAAUGGAUCCUUAACAACCAAUGUAGAGUUUGAGGUCC
RNAcentral lists this long non-coding RNA (256 nucleotides) under Elaeis guineensis (African oil palm). Its description in RNAcentral is "long non-coding RNA (EGUI_LNC035943)". The record is from RNAcentral. Lineage: Eukaryota; Viridiplantae; Streptophyta; Magnoliopsida; Arecales; Arecaceae.